RNAcentral lists this transfer RNA (64 nucleotides) under Pareas stanleyi (Stanley's slug snake). RNAcentral's name for it is "tRNA-Asp". The record is from RNAcentral. Lineage: Eukaryota; Metazoa; Chordata; Lepidosauria; Squamata; Pareidae.
GAGAACCUAGUAAACACAUUAUAUGGUCUUGUCAGGACUAAGUCACAGGAACCUGUGGUUCUCA